RNAcentral lists this ribosomal RNA (1213 nucleotides) under metagenome. RNAcentral describes it as "bacterial SSU rRNA". It matches the Rfam family "Bacterial small subunit ribosomal RNA", at positions 8 to 1231 of the family's 1533-position model. The record is from RNAcentral.
AGAGUUUGAUCCUGGCUCAGGACGAACGCUGGCGGCGUGCCUAACACAUGCAAGUCGAGCGGGGAUAUAGGAAGAGUAAUCCGACUGUAUUCUAGCGGCGGACGGGUGAGUAACGCGUGAGCAACCUGUCCUUGUCUGGGGGAUAAGAAGCCGAAAGGCUUUCUAAUACCGCAUGAGACCACAGCAUCACAUGGUGCAGGGGUCAAAGGAGUAAUCCGGACAGGGGUGGGCUCGCGUCUGAUUAGCUAGUUGGUGAGGUAAUGGCUCACCAAGGCAGCGAUCAGUAGCCGACCUGAGAGGGUGAUCGGCCACACUGGAACUGAGACACGGUCCAGACUCCUACGGGAGGCAGCAGUGGGAAUAUUGGGCAAUGGGCGAAAGCCUGACCCAGCAACGCCGCGUGAAGGAAGAAGGCUUUCGGGUCGUAAACUUCUAUCCCAGGUGAAGAUAAUGACGGUAGCCUGGAAGGAAGCCCCGGCUAACUACGUGCCAGCAGCCGCGGUAAUACGUAGGGGGCAAGCGUUGUCCGGAAUGAUUGGGCGUAAAGGGCGCGUAGGCGGCCUUUUAAGUCCGAUGUGAAAGUCCUGCUUUUAAGGUGGGAAUUGCAUUGGAAACUGGAAGGCUUGAGUGCAGGAGAGGUAAGUGGAAUUCCCGGUGUAGCGGUGAAAUGCGUAGAGAUCGGGAGGAACACCAGUGGCGAAGGCGACUUACUGGACUGUAACUGACGCUGAGGCGCGAAAGUGUGGGGAGCAAACAGGAUUAGAUACCCUGGUAGUCCACACUGUAAACGAUGAGUGCUAGGUGUAGGAGGUAUCGACCCCUUCUGUGCCGGAGUAAACACAAUAAGCACUCCGCCUGGGGAGUACGGCCGCAAGGUUGAAACUCAAAGGAAUUGACGGGGGCCCGCACAAGCAGCGGAGCAUGUUGUUUAAUUCGAAGCAACGCGAAGAACCUUACCAGGUCUUGACAUCCAGUAAAAGCAUCAGAGAUGAUGUGUGAGCUUGCUCAUACUGAGACAGGUGGUGCAUGGUUGUCGUCAGCUCGUGUCGUGAGAUGUUGGGUUAAGUCCCGCAACGAGCGCAACCCUUGUGAUUAGUUACUAACGCGUAAUGGCGAGGACUCUAAUAAGACUGCCGGGGACAACUCGGAGGAAGGUGGGGACGACGUCAAAUCAUCAUGCCCCUUAUGACCUGGGCUACAAACGUGCUACAAU